Molecule: ribosomal RNA, 253 nt
Filed under: uncultured bacterium
Lineage: Bacteria
Description: partial 16S ribosomal RNA
Rfam family: Bacterial small subunit ribosomal RNA
Source: RNAcentral
UACGGGGGGUGCGAGCGUUGUCCGGAAUCACUGGGCGUAAAGGGCGCGUAGGUGGUUUGAUAAGGGUGUGGUGAAAGUCCGGGGCUCAACCCCGGAUCUGCCGUGCCGACUGUCAAACUCGAGGACUGUAGAGGCAGACGGAAUUCCGGGUGUAGCGGUGGAAUGCGUAGAGAUCCGGAGGAAGACCGGUGGCGAAGGCGGUCUGCUGGGCAGUUUCUGACACUGAGGCGCGACAGCGCGGGGAGCAAACAGG